AACAUAGGACACAAGCGUUAUCCGGAAUUACUGGGCGUAAAGGGCGUGCAGGCGGUUGCGUAAGUUAGGCGUGAAAGACUUCGGCUAAACCGGGGGAGGUCGUCUGAUACUGCGCAACUAGAGUAUGGUAGAGGCGUGUAGAAUUCCGGGUGUAGUGGUGAAAUGCGUAGAGAUCCGGAGGAAUACCAGUGGCGAAGGCGGCACGCUGGGCCAUAACUGACGCUAAGACGCGAAAGCAUGGGUAGCGAACGGG
Molecule: ribosomal RNA, 253 nt
Filed under: uncultured bacterium
Lineage: Bacteria
Description: partial 16S ribosomal RNA
Rfam family: Bacterial small subunit ribosomal RNA
Source: RNAcentral